GGGGACCUGAGCCAUCACCCAGGCCAGGACAGAGGGGUCCAUCCCUGGCUCACUGUGGGACCCCAGAUGGGGACCCCAUACCCCUCUGAGCAUCACAUUCCCCAGUGGAAACAUGGGGGUGUCAAAUUUCAAGCUUCUAAACCACCCAUUUCCAGCAAGUUCUACUUCAGAUCCAACUGACAUCUUUCCUCUACUUUAUCUUCUAAGAGAGUGGGCCGGUCCCCCAGGCUGCGGUAGAUGACAGCAUCGAUGGCUAGGAAGUCGGUCACCGUGGCGGUGAAGAGCAUCCCUUCUGGAUGGGCGUGAGUUGGGGGGAAGCAGUUGCCAUCCUAAGUGCUGUGAGGUGAUGCCCUGUGCAUUUUAUUCCACGUUCUAUCAGAAUAAUAUUUAACUUAAGAAACUUCCAGAGAUGCCCAGGUGGCUCAGCGGUUAAGAGUCUGCCUUCGGCCCAGAUCGUGAUCCCAGAGUCCCAGGAUCGAAUCCCACAUCGGGCUCCCCGCAGGGAGCCUGCUUCUCCCUCUACCUGUGUCUCUGCCUCUCCUCUCCCUGUCUC
Long non-coding RNA from Nyctereutes procyonoides (raccoon dog), 553 nucleotides. RefSeq lists it as uncharacterized. The record is from RefSeq and is a predicted model, not a curated record. The transcript has 4 exons. NCBI's taxonomy places the organism in Eukaryota, Metazoa, Chordata, Mammalia, Carnivora, Canidae.